AGUAACGCGUGGAUAACCUGCCUCACACAGGGGGAUAACAGUUAGAAAUGACUGCUAAUACCGCAUAAGCGCACGGUACCGCAUGGUACAGUGUGAAAAACUCCGGUGGUGUGAGAUGGAUCCGCGUCUGAUUAGGUAGUUGGUGAGGUAACGGCCCACCAAGCCGACGAUCAGUAGCCGACCUGAGAGGGUGACCGGCCACAUUGGGACUGAGACACGGCCCAA
This 225-nucleotide ribosomal RNA is filed under the name uncultured bacterium. Its description in RNAcentral is "partial 16S ribosomal RNA". It matches the Rfam family "Bacterial small subunit ribosomal RNA", at positions 109 to 334 of the family's 1533-position model. The record is from RNAcentral.